Molecule: unclassified non-coding RNA, 346 nt
Filed under: soil metagenome
Description: partial contains 5.8S ribosomal RNA, internal transcribed spacer 2, and large subunit ribosomal RNA
Rfam family: 5.8S ribosomal RNA (bases 1-119)
Source: RNAcentral
GAUGAAGAACGUAGCGAAAUGCGAUACGUAAUGUGAUUUGCAAAUUCAGUGAAUCAUCGAGUCUUUGAACGCACAUUGCGCCCCCUGGUAUUCCGGGGGGCAUGCCUGUCCGAGCGUCAUUGCUGCCCUCAAGCACGGCUUGUGUGUUGGGCCCCGUCCUCCGAUCCCGGGGGACGGGCCCGAAAGGCAGCGGCGGCACCGCGUCCGGUCCUCGAGCGUAUGGGGCUUUGUCACCCGCUCUGUAGGCCCGGCCGGCGCUUGCCGAUCAACCCAAAUUUUUUAUCCAGGUUGACCUCGGAUCAGGUAGGGAUACCCGCUGAACUUAAGCAUAUCAAUAAGCGGAGGA